GUGUCAGCAGCCGCGGUAAUACGUAGGGGGCAAGCGUUGUCCGGAUUUAUUGGGCGUAAAGCGCGUGUAGGCGGCCAGAUAGGUCUGCUGUGAAAACUCGAGGCUCAACCUCGAGCUGUCGGCGGAAACCAUCUGGCUAGAGUCCGGAAGAGGAGAGUGGAAUUCCUGGUGUAGCGGUGAAAUGCGCAGAUAUCAGGAAGAACACCUAUGGCGAAGGCAGCUCUCUGGGACGGUACUGGCGCUGAGACGCGAAAGCGUGGGGAGCGAACAGGAUUAGAAACCCUAGUAGUCC
Molecule: ribosomal RNA, 292 nt
Filed under: uncultured bacterium
Lineage: Bacteria
Description: partial 16S ribosomal RNA
Rfam family: Bacterial small subunit ribosomal RNA
Source: RNAcentral